GGCGAACGCUGGCGGCGGGCUUAACACAUGCAAGUCGAACGGAAAGGCCCUGCUUGUGUGGGGUGCCCGGGUGGCGAACGGGUGAGUAACACGUGAGUAACCUGCUCUACACUUUCGGAGAACUUCAGGUAACUGGGGCUAAUAUCGUACAGCAGCCCCCGUUGCAUUGUGAGCGUUGGAACGUCUCGGCGGGUGGGGAUGGACUCGCGGCUUAUGAGCUAGUUGGUGGGGUAGUGGCUGACCAAGGCUGUGACGGGUCGCCGGCCUGUGAGGGUGACCGGCCACCUUGGGACUGAGAUAGGGACCAGACUGCAACGGUGGGCAGCGGUGGGGAGUAUUGUACAACGGGCGGGAGUCUGUGAAAGAAGCGCCGCGUGCGGGAUGACGGCUUUCGGGUUGUGAACCGCAUUCGCCUGUGACGAAGCGUGAGUGACGGUACUGGGUAAAGAAGCACCGGCUAACUACGUG
This 468-nucleotide ribosomal RNA is filed under the name uncultured bacterium. Its description in RNAcentral is "partial 16S ribosomal RNA". It matches the Rfam family "Bacterial small subunit ribosomal RNA", at positions 28 to 507 of the family's 1533-position model. The record is from RNAcentral.